UGCCGUAACUUCGGGAGAAGGCACGCUGGCGCGUAGGUGAAGGGACUUGCUCCCGGAGCUGAAGCCAGUCGAAGAUACCAGCUGGCUGCAACUGUUUAAUAAAAACACAGCACUGUGCAAACACGAAAGUGGACGUAUACGGUGUGACGCCUGCCCGGUGCCGGAAGGUUAAUUGAUGGGGUUAUCCGCAAGGAGAAGCUCUUGAUCGAAGCCCCGGUAAACGGCGGCCGUAACAAUAACGGUCCUAAGGUAGCGAAAUUCCUUGUCGGGUAAGUUCCGACCUGCACGAAUGGCGUAAUGAUGGCCAGGCUGUCUCCACCCGAGACUCAGUGAAAUUGAACUCGCUGUGAAGAUGCAGUGUACCCGCGGCAAGACGGAAAGACCCCGUGAACCUUUACUACAGCUUGACACUGAACAUUGAGCCUUGAUGUGUAGGAUAGGUGGGAGGCUUUGAAGCGUGGACGCCAGUCUGCGUGGAGCCAUCCUUGAAAUACCACCCUUUAAUGUUUGAUGUUCUAACUCGGCCCCGUGAUCCGGGGUGAGGACAGUGUCUGGUGGGUAGUUUGACUGGGGCGGUCUCCUCCCAAAGAGUAACGGAGGAGCACGAAGGUUAGCUAAUCACGGUCGGACAUCGUGAGGUUAGUGCAAUGGCAUAAGCUGGCUUGACUGCGAGAGUGACGGCUCGAGCAGGUGCGAAAGCAGGUCAUAGUGAUCCGGUGGUUCUGAAUGGAAGGGCCAUCGCUCAACGGAUAAAAGGUACUCCGGGGAUAACAGGCUGAUACCGCCCAAGAGUUCAUAUCGACGGCGGUGUUUGGCACCUCGAUGUCGGCUCAUCACAUCCUNGGUCCCAAGGGUAUGGCUGUUCGCCAUUUAAAGUGGUACGCGAGCUGGGUUUAGAACGUCGUGAGACAGUUCGGUCCCUAUCUGCCGUGGGCGUUGGAAGAUUGAGAGGGGUUGCUCCUAGUACGAGAGGACCGGAGUGAACGCACCACUGGUGUUCGGGUUGUCAUGCCAAUGGCAUUGCCCGGUAGCUAAAUGCGGAAAAGAUAAGCGCUGAAAGCAUCUAAGCGCGAAACUUGCCUCGAGAUGAAUUCUCCCUGACUCCUUGAGGGUCCUGAAGGGACGUUGAAGACUACGACGUUGAUAGGCCGGGUGUGUAAGCGCAGCG
RNAcentral lists this ribosomal RNA (1168 nucleotides) under Trialeurodes vaporariorum (greenhouse whitefly). Its description in RNAcentral is "bacterial LSU rRNA". It matches the Rfam family "Bacterial large subunit ribosomal RNA", at positions 1726 to 2880 of the family's 2925-position model. The record is from RNAcentral. Lineage: Eukaryota; Metazoa; Arthropoda; Insecta; Hemiptera; Aleyrodidae.